AUGCCUGAUGAACUAUGGACUGAGGUUCGUGACAUUGUACAGGACACAGGAAUCAAGACCAUCCCCAUGAAAAACAAAUGCAAAAAAGCAAAAUGGCUGUCUGGGGAGGCCUUACAAAUAGCUGUGAAAAGAAGAGAAAUGAAAAGCAAAGGAGAAGAGGAAAGAUAUAAGCAUCUGAAUGCAGAGUUCCAAAGAAUAGCAAGGAGAGAUAAGAAAGGCUUCCUCAGCGAUCAGUGCAAAGAGAUUGAGGAAAACAACAGAAUGGGAAAGACGAGAGACCUCUUCAAGAAAAUUAGAGAUACCAAGGGAACAUUUCAUGCAAAGAUGGGCUCGAUAAAGGACAGAAAUGGUAUGAACCUAACAGAAGCAGAAGAUAUUAAGAAGAGGUGGCAAGAAUACACAGAAGAACUAAAAAAAAAAGAUCUUCACAACCAAGAUAAUCACAAUGGUGUGAUCACUGACCUAGAGCCAAACAUCCUGGAAUGUGAAGUCAAGUGGAACUUAGGAAGCAUCACUAUGAACAAAGCUAGUGGAGGUGAUGGAAUUCCAGUUGAGCUAUUUCAAAUCCUGAAUGAUGAUGCUGUGAAAGUGCUGCACUCAAUAUGUCAGCAAAUUUGGAAAACUCAGCAGUGGCCACAGGACUGGAAAAGGUCAGAUUUCAUUCCAAUCCCAAAGAAAGGCAAUGCUAAAGAAUGCUCAAACUACCACACAAUUGCAGUCAUCUCACACACUAGUAAAGUAAUGCUCACAAUUCUCCAAGCCAGGCUUCAGCAAUAUGUGAACCAUGAACUUCCAGAUGUUCAAGCUGGUUUUAGAAAAGGCAGAGGAACCAGAGAUCAAAUUGUCAACAUCCACUGGAUCAUCAAAAAAGUAAGAGAGUUCCAGAAAAACAUCUAUUUCUGCUUUAUUGACUAUGCCAAAGCCUUUGACUGUGUGGAUCACAAGAAACUGGGGAAAAUUCUGAAAGAGAUAGGAAUACCAGACCACCUGACCUGCCUCUUGAGAAAUGUAUAUGCAGGUCAGGAAGCAACAGUUAGAACUGGACAUGGAACAACAGAGUAG
RNAcentral lists this long non-coding RNA (1062 nucleotides) under Bos grunniens (domestic yak). Its description in RNAcentral is "lncRNA (ENSBGRG00000019332.1)". Lineage: Eukaryota; Metazoa; Chordata; Mammalia; Artiodactyla; Bovidae. The record is from RNAcentral.